GCGCCUUGAGGUGCGGCGCGUGCGCACAGGACGGGACGGGAGGGCGGAGCGACUGCGCAGAUCAGGAAAAUUGUCACCUCUGGCCUCAGGGAAACUGAGGCUCUGAGCAGUUAAGAGGCCAACGAUCCAGGUUUAUGCUAUCAGUGUCUGAGAUACAAUUAAGUCACCUUUUUGGGUGACAUUUCCCUUGACUAGUACCUCAAGAUUAUGAUCCAGGUGGACCAUCCCUCCAUUGCCUCCAGACAUGUCUAUGACGCUACCUAGGGAUUGUGAAGAUUUACCACCUGGUGGAAAAUUAAAAAAAAAAAGACUUAUUCUGCAAAUUGACCAAGCUUAAGAGAUACAGCACUGAGAAUUCACCCACUACAGAGCUGGUAACCAGGCCUUCAGAGUAAGCUGUGAUGUAUAGCCAUUCUCCUCAGCAGCCUGUUUGACUGAGGGAUAUAGGAAUGACUGCCCUUACCCAUGUUUUUGUUCAGAUUUAUGGUUCUAAAUCUGAUGGAAAAUCUAUCAUUGGACCAUUUGAUUCUUCCUAAAGAAAGGCCAAACCACCUGUCAAACCCACGAGCAACACAGCAAUGGCUAAGCUGAAGAAGCCAAGUUAUAUGUCUAGCUCCUCUGUGGGUGGCAGGAUCCAGCUGUGGGGAGUCCAAGGUUCCUUGUGUUCUUCUGGCUUGACUAUGAUAUUUCCAAUUUGGAGGCACAAAGAAUUGAGAACUUGGGGAUCCACUGAGGUCUGAGGCAUGGUGGUACCAGAAGAAAUAAAGGGGCCAUCAGCAUGAAGCUGGUCUCCCAUUGACAGCACCCUGACUUCUCCAUCAGGUUCUAUCAGCAUGUCUACUGUGAGGUUGGUGACGCUGUCUGCAGACAGAGACGUGUGUUGCAGCAUGAACAGUGCUGGGAUUAGAACUGGCUGGUGGCACAGAGGUGAACAGCACUCUACACUGAAGGUAAACCGACAGGGUUGUUCAUUUUGUAAAACUGCUGUGCUCAUUUUAAAGGUAAAAUAAUAGCUUUCACUUACUGAAAGUUUACCAUGGUAUAGUCCUGUGCCAGGGUGUCCUACAUUGACCAUCUUGAAGCCGCCGGCUAGAGAUACUAUCUUUAUUUCGUGUCAUACAGCUAGGAAGUAGCAGAACUUGGACUUAAACCCAGUCGUGACCAGUGGGCCGCAGUAGAGCGGGAUCUGUGCCUGUGACUGCCAUUAGUGAGUCUAACACUCUGGUCACAUUACAUCAACUUACAGGCGCCAUGCUAAAUAUGGGAAAAUGGUAGAAUAGAUAACUGUUGUUGGCUAAACAGCAUAUGUACCCCCCUCUUUCAGAUUAAGGGUACCCUCACUUCCUUUCAAAAUGGUUCUUCCCUGUUCUUUGCUAUGGAAGAUUGAUUGAGGGGGAAUUCUACUCUUACCUCCAAUGAACAGCGUAGUAGCCUUGCUAGUGCAGUCUGGGGAUGGGACCCAGUCACUUGCUGGGAAACACCUCCCGGGGCCUCUGGGAAGGAAGGUGUGCGCUUCUGAGUUGUUACCUGAUGAGAUGUUCGCUCUUCCUAGUGCCUGCACCAGGAACGCAUUCUGGACGCUACUGGCAGCCAUCUUGCAAUGCAGAGAACAGCCAGCCUUAGGAGGGAAGCAGCCUGACACAUAGUUCAAAAAAGAGAUGAAAACUGUGGGUCCUCGGUGACAUUGCUGAGCCACCAUCUGGAGCCAGUUUCUCCUUAUAGGAAAAGCCAUUUAAGUUGAGGUUCUUGAAGCUUAAGCAUUUUAAAUGGACAUAACAAAAGGGUGGGCCAAAGCAUGUCCUCACAGUCCACAGUGGUAGCUGUAAGGAUGCAUGGUGAUUACUUUCACGAAGUUUGCACUCAUUACUUUCCACUGAGACAAUUAGGAACAGGCCCUCUUUAGGGUGCAAAAAUAUGUUGAAAGGAUGAAGAAAAAAGUGAAAGUGUCUCCAACAAGUCGGAAACUACUUCCCAUACCUACUUAAAGUUUAAGGACAGCUUUACUACUCUGUGUUUAAUUGUUAAUGGAGAAUUUAAAAAUCAAAAAUGCCAAGUUUGUCUUCGAUGAGAUGGAAAAUUAUGCUGCAGUAGAAGGUAACAUAAUGUAAAACAACCAGCUUUACCAAAGCACACAAAUGUUUUUGGUAUGUAAAAUUGCUUUGUAAAAUAUUUGCUCCAUCUGCUAAAAGCGGCAAAGACAAUUUUCCCUUGAUAGCUAAUGGCCCAUUUCGGGUGUGUGGCAAGUGAUUCGCUGCAGUGGCGGCUCUCAUUAAACGGAAUGUUGAAAACGCGGUAUAUAAUUCCAUACUUAGGUCGCAUUACCCACUCACUGCUUCCUGAGGAGUCGAUCCCUCAUUAGCGAGGCCUCUACCUUGCACCAACAUGCAGGCCUAGCAAUUGAUUCAACUUGAGAAGCAUUUUGUCCAACUGAGGCACAUAUGUUGUACUUCCAUUCCGAAGCUCAGCACAACUGCCUCACUGCAACCACAGCCACCGGAGAAGUUCAUUCCCUCUCCACUCUCCAGCACUGACUGCUGCUUCUCUUUCCCCUCGCCACAGGGAGCACAACUGUUGUCUUUCUUUCUUUCUUUUUUUUCUAGGCUCAUCCUGUCGCACUGCAUGCUGGGGGGUUUCAAUAGAUAAAGAUUAAGUGCUUCUAGAAAUUCUUAAUUGAACUUUACACAUACACAAAAGGAGGGAAAAACUCCCCCUCCCCCAGGGCAAAACUGCCAUCACACAAGCCUGACAAACGCUGCCCUCGCUUCCUGGUCUAUCUGUGAUUUCUCUCUUUAAAAGAGUUGCUUACAUUACACCCCAAAUUACUUCAACAUCUGCUAAAGGAACGAUUAGAAAUAAAUACAGGAAUCCAGGGUGGCUUAAGAAGAGAAGAAGAUGUUCGUGUUUGGAGAAUGAUACUGAAAAGUAGUUACUGCAGCAAAUGGCUGGGGAGAGACAAAUAUUCUUACCAUUGGAAAACAGUUUUCAAGGAAAUUAUACUGAAUUGUAAGAAUGACAGCCAGUAAGUACAUAUGACUGUUUUAAAGAUUAUACAGUGUUUUAAAGUGGGAAUCAGGCUGUGUUUAAAUCAACCAUAAGUAGAAGUAGCCAUAAUCUAGUAGAAAGCUACUGGAAAUAGGUUUUCUCCUAUCCAUGUAGAGACUUGGGACAUGUAGAGAAACACCUGGUUGGGAGGACUGAGGACGAUGAUGGACACACUCUUUAAAUGCAGAAUGGAGACAAAAGGAAGCACACAUUCCCUUUGGAUUGAUUCUCAUUCAAGUAAUGGGGAAGACUGAGUUCCAGGAAUGAAACUGAGUUUAUCAAGGGAGCCUUGUAUUUUAGUCUGUACACAAAGAAUGGGCAUGCAGCACUGUUUCUCAAUCAAGAGAAGAGAGGGACCUUUUUUGAUAUUUCCACACAUCAGAUACAUGGAGUCAGGAGGAUGUAGCAGCGUUGUAAAUUGAUUGUUUUCUUUCCACAGACCAUGCACAGGACUAGACAGUGAGGGUUUGUCUAGAGCCUGGCUCAGUUACAGAGAGUCCUAGACUUCUCAAGGGCAUCCCUGGUCCACCAAGGGGCACCGAGGACAGAUGACCAGUAGCACAUGGCACUGUGACUGUCAGAGAGUGAAAGCUUUCUUUGAAUCCAUUCCAAAAGCCUAAGCCUGCUCUGUGGUUUUCAGCAGCACAGACAUUUCCAGAAGAACUCCAGCGGGACCUUCCCGGGUGUGAAAACACUAACCAAUCCUCCUUUCUCUUAUCUUCUGCUUUAUUCCUUCCUUCCACGCAGUUAUUGUGAAAAACUGGCAGUUAAAUUCAAUUGAUUCAAAUUUUUCUGGAUCCAUAUGGCCGCCAACCCUGGAGCUGAAGCGGCGGCGCCUCGCCUCUGUUCUCUAGCAUUUGCCUCUCCUCCCGUCCCCAGAUGGUGGGAGUAACAUUUAAACCUCCUUUUCUCUGCCUUGUACAAUAGACCUUGGCACCAUUUCAACUGUUUACUCCGGUAAUUAACAGCUCUGAUACCACAACAAUUACAACUCCUCCACUCUCCACAAUAAUGCUAUGAAUUAGUGAGAGCUAAUGGCUGGAAGGUAGAGUGUUUCCAGACUGUGAGAUCUGUGCAUUUUUAGAAUAAAAUAAAAGGUACAAACAGCACGCUUGCAGUAGACAAUGAUUACCUAGUAAUUAGUUUACACAAAGCUUCCUAUUUAAUGGCAAAAUGCUGUAAUUAACGUGUGACAGAAAAUCAAAGGGUACUUUGUAAGCAUAUGAAAAAUUAACACUGCAGGCCCAUAGCUUUAUGUACUGAUUAGAAGCAUAUUAAAUCAAUAGGACACACAAGCCAACAGCUUGUAUAGCUGAUUAUUAUAGGUCCUCGGAAGGGGUGCCCAGGCUUUCAUUUAACUGGGGAGGCAAUUUUCCUUCUCCUGUCAUCAUCCUCAGGCACAGAGAAGCACCUCAAACACAUCCCUGGCAGCACCAUGAAAAUAACCACUCAACUGGAAGAAAACGUUCUAAGUCAUUCUCAGAGCUAAGGAAAAAUAUGUACAUGAUUAAGACUUUCCAGUGAUCUUGGUGACAUGCUGCUAUACUAAUUAGAAAAUAUGCCAACUGGAACCAGAAGCAUCCAGACCCAAUGUUUUGGUCAGAAUAAUCUCUACUAUAUCAAGCCUCUUUAUUCAACAUGAAGAAAGCUCUAAGAAACACAUUGUUUUCUAUCCUCAAAUGGUAAGAGGCCAGGAUGCUAUCUAGUGUUAUUCUUUUAAAGGUAUUAAUUAGGAAAAUCAUAACAGAGAGAGAAUUAGAUCAUUAUGCUGAGGUUUUGAUAGCAUCUUGUAUAAUAGUAAUUGAUGUACACUACAGUAGUCUUGAAGGCUACAAAGCCUCCUAAAUAACCUUGUGAAUUGCCAAAGAACUGCUACUUUGUAUUUAUUUGCUCACUAUUGCUUAUAUUUUCUCAUAAUAGAACUUUAAUUAAUAUUCAUAAUAAAAAGCAACAAAGCAACAAUAUCUUAAACGUCCACAUGCUAAGACUAUUGCUGGCCAAGUCACAGGAUACACUUAACCCUCAUCACAGCUCCAUGUACACCUGUACUGUUAUCUAUUUCCAGAUAAACAAACGGCAACUUAAAGAGUCAUGGUGAUUUGGUUGUGGCUGUUUCCCAGGAAGAUCUGAGAGAGGCAGAUCUGUGGGGCUCGUGAGGCCAGCUACCCUCUGCUUUAAAAGGCUUACCACAUAAACCUGAAUUAUGUCUAGAAACAAGUAAGACAAAAACAAAGAACAUUUCUGGUGGCUUGUGUGUGUAAAUGAAGAAUAAGUUGAAUUGCUUCUCUUGGUUUUAGUGCUAUAUCUGAUUGUGAAGGUAGGCUAUUCAAUAUGUGAUAAUUUAUAGGCUGAUUCAAAUAAGUGUAUCUCUCUGUAACUGGGCAAAAGGUAAUACAUAGAAUUCUCUGUUGUCAACUAUUUACAUUGACAGGGAUGCAUGUGGUGAGGCAUCUGGGCUUUCUAAGGAUUCCUGACAGGCUCCUCCCUUCUACAGCUGAGGUAUGCAUACUGACACCUCUCCUCGCCUCCCAGUUCACUGUCUUGUAGGAAAGGGGAGCACUCCAGAGUAGUGAGUGUGGCCCAGGGACAUCUGUGGGAAGUAGAAGAUCUGCCAGAGCAGCAGCACAUGGCACGCCCACAGAGCGGCCGCAGAGGGGAGCUUCUCCAGGAGCUUAAGGAAGUUUCCUCUGCAGCGCUCAGCUGUGCGUUCUGCUAAUGGUUUGGGAGGCCACUAGCAUCUUCUUAUCAAUGCAGCACGUACAACAAGAGCCGGAGCACUGUUGCUAGAUACAGCAUUCUACUCAUGGGGAUUUCUCCCGAGGGGGAAAAAAAGCAGAAUUUGUUUUUGUUUUAAGGGCAUAUACUAUAUAGACAUUUCUCUGGUCCCCAAUUAAAAAACAAACAAACAAACAAACAAACAAAAGCAAAACAAAACUGGAGAAGAGCUUAAGUUUUCAGACAGGUGAGUGUUUUAGCAUAUUAGAAUUAAUAAAAGGGAAUAACAUGCAGCCAUUAAUUGUGAUGAAAAUGGGUAAAGGGGAAAAUGGCUAAGUUCUUAUGUUUAAUUAGAUUACUCACAAUUAUUGAGGCAAUGAGAGACAACACACAUUUGAGAAUUAAUUCAGAGAAUGAAGGCAAUAGUAAAAGUGAUUUUACACUUACCUGAUUAGACAUCUCUCUCUGAUAUUGUUACAGUACCUUUUAACUUUCCUAAACAUUCUGUGGUGAUGAGUCAAUGCCUCUUUGAGCUCACCUUGUAAAGCCCUAUCACAUUCUCCAGGAGGCACUUGGGUCAGUCAGUCACCUGAGAGUGGUUCCCAUCACUGCUUACAAGGCUUCAGAGGGGAAGCUGUUCUGAGCACACUGUGGUGGCUGCUCCUCCUUUGUAAUGCUAUGCUUGUUUGCUGACCUAGUUCUCUAAUGAUCUAAGUAUGGUUUAUUCUGCCUUUCUAAGUUUGGAAGCCCUGGAUUCAGAUCUUCCCUUUUGGGUGAUAUUUAAAUGAAUAUCAAAUUCUAACAUUCUAACAGUAAGACAAAAUAAUAUGAGAGACUGAAGAUUUACCCUCUAACAAAAUAGAAAGCAGCCACAAGAAAGACUGUGAGCACAGAAAGCAGACUGUGUCGCCAGCAUGUGUCAGGAAGGCGUCUCUCCUACAAGUGUGUUUUAAGUCUUCAUCCCUACUAACUGAAACACAUCCCCUGACUCAGAAGCAGGGAAUCUUGCAUUUGUGCAAGUGGAUUCACAAACCUUAGCAAGCAGUGUACACCCAGCAACUGAGCUUCUUGGGACCCAGUGGGUGAAGCGCGGGGAGCUGGCUUCAUUAGACAACAGGAGGACAAACAGUGGCUUGCUACCAGCCACCAGGGAAAAAUGAAAAUUUGUGUUUUGUUCCAGUGAGGCCUUUCUGUUUUGAAAUAUGCCUAUGUCUCCAUACUGAACUUUCAAAGGUGACUAGGCUUUUUAGCAUCUGAUUAUUUGUGUGACUUUGCUUCAGGUCUUAACUGCAAACAGCCAAAGCUCAGUUCAAAAUUAGGAAAAUAGGAAAAAGAGAUGAUCUUUGUGUUGUGUGUCGGUGCCUACACCAGGUCCUGCCUACAUUUAAGACUAGUGUCUGCGUAAGACUCUACAGCAGCGCCCAACCCACACACAGCACUGCUUUCAUCUGUUGUCUACAAUGUACCAAUACGAGAAUUCACAGCAUCAUGUCACAAACUGCUAUGCAAAUGAUGCUAUUUGUAAGUAUUAACAUAAUUCAGUGCUUACAGUCAUAUUCUCAUUUCUAAUAAUUCUUUCAGAAUGGAGUCUUUCUCUGGACUCUUAGCCUGCAGGAUAGUCUUUCAUCAAGAAGCUGAAAUUUUUAAUAACCUGCCAGCAUAUGUUUUGUAUGUGCCAGGCUAGGCUUGGUGACACAACAUCUUCAUUAUGAAAAGAAACAGGUCUACAGACUGUAAUAGGACAUUAAAACACGCUUGUGCUCAUAAAGUAAUGCUUUGAUGUCUAAAUGCACAGCAUCACAAUGGUCUCCUGGAACAAAGGUGCAUUCCACCUAAAUUCUCAAUAAAUACCCUCAGGUCACCUCCACUCAGAGCAGGGUUUCCCUUUGAAGGCAUAAGCUGCCCUUGAGUCCCCACAAGAGGGGAGAGAGUGCACACAUGCCUUGUUUUAAUUUUUAUCUUUGGCUUCUCACACUUCACAGCCAAGCACAACCCAUACAUUAUAGCAGGAUUUCUGAAUAAUUAUUUUUCCCUGUUAAGUUUUUAAAAAUGAUUUAAAGAGAUCAUUAAUUAUUUAAGAGUUUCAAAUUUAAUAACAUUAACAACAGUGCUAAAUGUAUUUGGUAACAAUUUAAAAUAAUUGAAAUUAAAUAAUCAGCAGCGAGGCUCUAAGCACAGUUCAGCCAAUGUCAGGACUGUAAAUAUUCUUAAAACUCAAAGUCAAACAUUGUACAUCUAUCAUAGUCUAAUGUCAGAUAAUUCUUUAAAAAUUAUUGGUUUGAAACACUGAGGCCAGAAAACACUGUACACGGUAGUGUUUCAAUUCUUUAAAUGAAAGUGCUAGACUUUUCCAUGGUUUAAACUCAACAGCUUUGCUUCAAAAGGACAAAAUCCUGUUCAAAGAGAACGUAACAGAAACCUCUAUGGGCCUCAAAAUUAAAUACAUUUUCUUUGCUUUAUUUUUUUUCUAGAAGAGUAAUUCACUGUGGUGUCCUUUAAAUAAUAUGUGAAGAGCUAGCCAUGACAGCCACUGCGUUUAGUCCACUCACUGUUGGAGGGAGAAGAAAGCCCAGAAUAGAUCAUGGGAGGACCGACCCAUUUAUCAAAGGGAGCUCUCCCUCCUGACUGGUCUCGAGAUGUAUUCAUCAUCUCACUUGCCCAGGAAUAAUGUGGCUCCCACCAGUGUGCCCUUCCUUUCUAUCACUUGUGUCUUGAUUCAUAGACUUCUGUAGUGGGAUGCGCAAAGCAGAUGCAAAUCACUGCACAGUCCACCGCUAUGCCUGCUGGGAGUGAAGGAACCAGUUAAGGAGUUUGUCUUUCAAUCUUCUUUUUUCUAGCAGGUCACCCAAAACAGGGUCAUGCAAUAAAGAGAAGCUGAGUAUAAGGAUACAGUGUGGGACAGUGUUUAGAGAUCAGGUUAAACAUCAGCCACAUACAACUAUUAAGCAAAAUUGGAACAGAUUGGGCUGUAUAAAUUCAUCUCACCAACAUAUAUGGAAAGGUUUACACACCUCCACUCAGAGCCAGAGUCACUGAGCACAGCUUUGCUGGGAAUUUUCUUCUGGGGUCUAUUCUUCUCUGAGCAUCUCACAGGAACUGGUAGUAACAUAAAUUUCUUUGGAAUAUCUUCAAAAACAUGGCUUUUGACAGAAUGCUAUUAUACAUUAGCUUCCAGUGAGCACCAUUUAAUAAUAGAAUUUCUCCUAAUAAAAUACAGCUAUCUUAAUUCCAGCAGUUGAUAGAAGCACAGGGUGUGCUCAGGGCGGAGGCCAAGACUCUCAGUGCUCCCCGAAUGUGGCAUUUUAGUUAUUGCUUAGCUAUCAUAAUUAUUUUGAAGAUGUGGGAGAAAAAAACCAUUUUGAGCCCCCAAACUGUACAUUUAACUAACCCAAUGAGCCCAUUUCUGCUCUUCAUUUAGACUGAAGCCCAGGAAAGGCUGCAAUGAUAGAUAACAGCUGAGUCAGGGAGAAAGGAUUAUCACCUAACUGUCCACAGCACUGUGGUGUAAGUUACCACUGAACACUCACUUGUGCCCACUUCUUCUUCCAG
Mus musculus (house mouse) is the source of this 9306-nucleotide long non-coding RNA. RefSeq annotates it as predicted gene, 16759. NCBI's taxonomy places the organism in Eukaryota, Metazoa, Chordata, Mammalia, Rodentia, Muridae. The record is from RefSeq and is a predicted model, not a curated record. The transcript has 4 exons.